UUUUUUAGUACGCUGCGUUUCAUUAAGUUUUUCUUUGAUUUCUUUUUGGGCUACUAUUAAUUUUUUUUUUGUGGACAAAUGGGCUACUAUUAUUUAUAUCAACUACUUUAGGGCCUGUAAAAAAUAGAAAAUUGGGUCGGUGUAUAUGAUAUAACCUAAACCAAAAAUGUAUUGUAUUUUGAAACUCCGGCUAAUAACGAUGAAGGUAGUCGCUGCUGAAGUCUCUGUUUUUUUUUUCUUCCCCCGCUGAAGUCUCUGUUACGUACAUCAAUGGUUUCCGCCAAUUCCUGAUGGAACCCGACACCGACGUCUAAUCCAAUGGUGAUCUUCUCACUCUGAACGAAAUCCGGGAACGUUACGGAAGUCGACUGCAAUCAACCAUCGUCAUUGACUCCCUCAUUAACAACGCUUCCCCACUCCUCACACGAUUUCUUAUUCAAUGCAUUCCCCCUUUCUCUUUUGUAUGAAUCUCCAACUAUAAAUACGUGAGUUUCAUUUCGUGAAAUUCAUCAGUUCUUUCCUUUCAAUCAUUAUCAUUCCUAAAAUUUUCAGAGAAAAGAAUCCACAAGCAGAGUUCCUUGCUAGAUCAAGUAUGAAUGGUAAACUCAAGGAGAUGUAUGUCGUCUCUCUUCUUCGCGGCCGCGUGGUGACGUCUGAGUUUCCGCAUGCUAACUGAAACGGUCCGAGUUAUGUCUUUUGUUAUUAAUCCCGUUAAUUCAGUAGCCACGAUGAGGUCUUGAAUGCGUUGUCAGAUCUGUGAGGCCGUGUGUGUUGUGUAUAAAUAUAUGUUAGUAUCUCUCACUUUGAACUCAUCUUCUCUUCACAUCUCUUCUUCCUAGGUUUCGACAACAGACUAGAUUGUUCAUAUGUUUAGGCUGCGAGAAUGUGAGAAUGAGAUGGCCCAGUUUGUUUGAAGGAGUUGAUCCCACUUUAGAGGAAUGGAUCAUUGAUGAGCUGUUGUUGGAAACGAAGAUACCUUCUAUUCCAAAAUAUUUAGUUGCAGAGGGAUUAACUAUUGAUGGAAUAUUGGAGAGAUGGGAAAACAUGAAGUUGGUUAUCAUGGAGACUUGGAAUGAAGAAGAUAAAAGAUGCUUUGAUCGAUUUGUUUGGAAAAGUUGGAUGAUUGGAUUAAAAAGAACAUGACAACUUGGUUUGGUCCCAAGAGUUUCAUCGUGGAAAGAGGAGCCAUGUGGACAAUUACCUUUCAAACCAAUGAGCAGAGCUGCAGGAACACCCUAAUAAUGCUGAAAUUGCAAGCGAUAACGACAAGUCUCAACAACCAACACACAAAAGCUUAGUUGCUUCUAUUUUUUUUUUCUUCGCUGAUCUUCCUUAUUAGGAAAAUAAAGUUAUUGUUUUCCAUAUUGUUUUUCAUGAUUUGCAAAUAGGCAAAAUAGGGAGAGAGAAUUUUACAUUAUCACCAAACUGUCUCAAUUGAGUUUCACAUGUGAACCCAAAGACCAUGGGCAGUAGUUGUUUCAUAUCUAACAGAAAAGGGUUCUAUUCCUCACUGGAAUAAUUUGUGUAUAGUGAGGAAGCAUAUCAAAUAAUGAACAAAUAAUGUUCUUUUCUUUGUGAGUUACAACAUCAUUUGAAUCAGAAAUUUUUAGAGAA
Raphanus sativus (radish) is the source of this 1614-nucleotide long non-coding RNA. RefSeq lists it as uncharacterized. The record is from RefSeq and is a predicted model, not a curated record. Lineage: Eukaryota; Viridiplantae; Streptophyta; Magnoliopsida; Brassicales; Brassicaceae. The transcript has 5 exons.